RNA transcript from Triplophysa dalaica, 3890 nucleotides. It is a transcript of the gene named 52 kDa repressor of the inhibitor of the protein kinase-like, with no coding region annotated. NCBI's taxonomy places the organism in Eukaryota, Metazoa, Chordata, Actinopteri, Cypriniformes, Nemacheilidae. The record is from RefSeq and is a predicted model, not a curated record. The transcript is spliced from 6 exons.
GCAAAGCGAGCCGAAGAAGUUAAGGCAGCAAGAACAGAACUGCAACUGUCGGGACAAGUCUGCAAAGAUUCGAGCUACAAACGCUGACGGAGGAGAAGAGAACUGGUGCAUAUCAAGACUUUCUUUAAAACAGGUCUGUUUCGCUGAACCACACAGAUUUACUCAAGAGGAGAGUGCAGACAUUAGUAAUACAGAGCCAUACAGAAUAAAAAAUAAAGAUACCGCAGACAAAAGAGAUAUAAUGGAAGAAGAAACAUCAACAUCAGAAAAAUCUUUUCAUCGCUUGCAGACAACAAAUAUUUUCUUUUCUUUUACUUGCUCUCAGUGUGGAAAUGGAUUUGGAAGUAAAGAGCAGCUUGAGAUGCACAUAAGAAUCCACACUGGAGAAAAGCCUUUCACCUGCACUCGGUGUGAAAAAAGCUUCAAAAGCAAAAAAACACUUAAUUUUCACAUGAAAAGUCACACUGGAGAGCGCCCGUUCGCAUGUCCACAGUGUGAAAAGAGAUUUUGGCAAAAGUACACUCUUGAAAAUCACAUAAGAAUUCACACAGGAGAACGGCCUUACACAUGUCCUCUGUGUAGAAGGAGUUUUAUGAACAAACGUGCACAUUCAGAUCACAUGAGAGUUCACACUGGAGUGCGCCCGUACACAUGUCUGCAGUGUGGAAAGAGUUUUACACAAAAAAAUAGUCUUAAUAAGCAUGGGGUACUUCACUCUAGAAAUCGUCCAUAUAUUUGUCCUCAGUGUGGAAAGAGUUUUUCAAAGAAAGAAAAACUUGCAGACCACAUUAGAAUGCACAUUUGAGAACGCCUGUCCACAAAGAGUUUCAGACGAAAAAAUGUAGAAGAACACAUGAGAACUGUAGAACAUCCACACACCUGUUCUCAGUGUGGAAAGAGAUAAGGAAGACUUAACCAUACGUGUUAACUGUGGAAAGAGUUUCGCAAGCAAAAAUCUUGAUAUCCACAUGAGACUUCCCACAGAAGAGCUCGUAACAGUGUCUACAGAGUGUAGAAAGUGUUUCACAGUGGCUCUGUUCACACUGUCAGUGUUCAGGAUUGUCUUUACAUAUGCGAGUCUUUAAAUGUUCUGUUCUCACAGCUGAAAUACUGCCCGAAGGCUGAAGUCUUUAUUGUGUUCCCAUGCGACUCAUGUAACCACAGUGUUGGACUUUAAUAUGACUGGUAUUCUUUUAAGUGUUUAAUUCAUACACUGACAAGGAUUAUAAAACCGUUUUUCACCGUAUUUUCUUUCAAAAUUAUUUUGGUGGGUCAUGUGCUCAGAAUCUAAAUCAGGCCCCUUAAUUAUUGAUGUGGCUACAGUACCUAUGGACAAUCUUUUUUCUAAUUAAAAUUGCAUCAAAUGUCAAUUGAAAGAUAUAGAUAAAAAACAUGUAUUUAAAAAAUGAUAAUUUGAAACAAUAAUAAAUAUAUGAAUAUAAAUGUAACCUACAUUUAAAGGGUGACUUAGUGUAAACACUGCAUCUCUGUGCAUAUAAGUGAAUCUUAUUUGUUUACAUUUUAGCUGCUUUUUUCUAUUUAACUCCGAGCAACUGCUUUGGAGCCUGUAAAUUGAAAAUUAGGGAAAUUACUUUUUCCAUGCAUUGAUUAGACUAACACUAUCUCAAAGAAGUGUUGGAGAACAUGACCAUAAUUGUUCUUCAUUAUCAACAAAAUUGUUAAAAGAACCACUUCACUCAUCCUCUGAUUGUUUUACCACAGUCAAAACCAAAAAACACAGGUGGGCCGAGUUCACAUUUUAGUUCUUUUUUUUGAAGCUGUUGCGUGUGUUUUACAUUAUAAUCCCAUGGAGUAAACCAUGUUAUCAAAAAAAGUGCUGAGCGUUUUUUUAAACACCAGCGCCGGUGUCUUAUCAACAUCUGACUCCCCGUAAGAUUAUGACUCCCCUGUGUCACCAACGAGGGUUUAGGUGUAGGAGUCGGGCUUUGGAUGUAGGGACCAAUCACAAAGCAGAAUCCUACGUACACCGGUUUCUUUUUCUGCAGCUCAGAGCGUCUUUUGAGUUUGAAAAGUUACUUUUCUGGAAAAAGAAACCUAGGUCAAGCACCUUUUUCUACAGCUAAUAAACCAUGAUUGACAGCUUUAUUUACUGAAAUGUUGUAUUAAACGGUAGCUCACAGGUGAAAUACUGUAUUCUGUUCCCAUGUGACUCCACGAUGACAUUUUCUAUUUGACUGCUAUUCAUUUUUUGCUGAUAUCAUUGUUUGUGUGAAUGUUUUCUGUAUCGACCAUCACUGUGUGAUGCUGCUGUCAUUCACACUGAGGGUCGACUGUAGAUAGAAAGCUCAACGAUCGGACGUCAGUUUGAUUUCUAUAUCAGUGAAAAAUAAAUUUCAAUGCACAUUAUAAAUACUUUAAUUAUUUAAAAACUUCUAAGCUAAUUCAAAGAAUUGAAUAGGUUAAAGUAGUUUUGGUGUGUAGUACGUAAUCUGCUGCUCACACUCAGUCCAGUAGAUGGCGGUAAUGCGCCUGUAAGAUGGUUUGGCAACCUCUAAUAAAAACAAAAGAAGCGAAGAUACACAGAAACGGACAGAAUGGCAACGAAGGAGAAACCAAAGUGGAGUAAAAGAACGCAAUGUUCGGCAAUUAACUGCAAAAAUUAUCAGUGUGACAGUACAGAUGUUGCUUUUCACCGUUUUCCUAAAGACCCUGAUAGGUCUUCCAAGUGGGUUCAGAAUCUCAGGAAUGCAUCUUUGUUGGACAUAAGCCCUGAGCGGCUCAAUCAAAACUAUAGGGUGUGCAGUGCACAUUUUCACACUAGCCAGUUUAAGAGACCAUCUGAUGUCCAUGCGGGAUUGAAAUGGAAUGCAGUGCCCACAUUGGUUAAUGUCUCUAAGCCAUCACCCCCAGUUGACUUGCAGUUAAAGAGAAAGCAACAGAAGACCUGUCCGGAGUUACCACCAAAGAAACGUAAGAAAAAUACAGGGAUACCUUGAGGUACAAAAAUUGUUUACCUGUCAAAUCCAGGCUCAUCCACUGCAGACAGUGUUCAACAAACCAUCGAUUCAGAGACAGACAGUAAACCACCUGAUGCUUCUGCGGCAGGACCUUCGAUUCCACGGACACCACCAACAUACCUUGACGCUGCGACUGCCAAGGAACAUGUCAUGAAGAUGAAGAUUAGGUGUCUGAAGGUACAGGUAUGCAAGUUGAAGGCGAAAUUGAGGGAAGUGAACCGGCUGAAGAACACAAGGAAGGCCUGUGUUAAUAAACUGUCAGUGAUGAAGCAGUUGAAAAAACUCUUACCAGCCAAAACAUACGCUUUUGUGAGUGAACAGAUACAUAUGUCACAGCGGAAGACUCCUGGUUUUCGGUAGACCAAUAAGGACAAAGCUUUCUGGUCUCUGGUACAUGCCAGUCCAGAGUGUUACAGACUACUGUUGAGCGUGUUUUCUAUGCCGUCUGUCCGCACACUGCUGGAGCUCAAUAAAUCUUAAUCAUUGUAUUUAUUUAAGUUUUAGUUUACUGUAUUGAAUCUUUCCAUUUUAUUCAGCUUAACACAAUUACCAUUACUUUUAUUAGUAACUAUUGUGUAUAUGAAAUAUAUAUUGAAUUUUUGAAACUCUGGAAAACACUACGGUCAUGAUGAUCUUAUAGAUGCAUUGCUAUGUUUGUCCAAAACACAAUGUUGUUGUUUUUUUCAACAUUCCCAAUUUUUCUGAUGCAUGUCCUUAAUUAAAUUUCACAUGUUGGUAUUUUUUCAGUGUUUAUAAUACUUGUAGAAUGUCAACCAAACUGACAUGGUUUCUAGAGAGCACUUAAACGCAAAGUCAGUAAAAUAAACUGUGAAAAGAUUUGAUGAUGGUUAUUAAAAAAGUUUGAGCCGCUGAAGCAGUUUCUGGAGGAGAGGCUGUGUACAAUACCACCGA